CACGUAGUUAGCCGGUGCUUCUUCUCCAGGUACCGUCACAAAAACGCUUCGUCCCUAGCGAAAGGAGUUUACAACCCGAAGGCCGUCAUCCCCCACGCGGCGUCGCUGCAUCAGGCUUGCGCCCAUUGUGCAAUAUUUCCCACUGCUGCCUCCCGUAGGAGUCUGGGCCGUAUCUCAGUCCCAAUGUGGCCGUACACCCUCUCAGGCCGGCUACCCGUCGACGCCUUGGUAGGCCAUUACCCCCACCAACAAGCUGAUAGGCCGCGAGCUCAUCCCACACCGAAAAAACUUUCCACCACACCAUCCAAAAAUGUGGUCCUAUCCGGUAUUAGACCCAGUUUCCCAGGCUUAUCCCGAAGUGCAGGGCAGAUCACCCACGUGUUACUCACCCGUUCGCCACUCGAGUACCCCUGCCAAGCAGGAGCCUUCCGUUCGACUUGCAUGUGUUAAGCACGCCGCCAGCGUUCAUCCUGAGCCAGGAUCAAACUCU
This 490-nucleotide ribosomal RNA is filed under the name uncultured Corynebacterium sp. Its description in RNAcentral is "partial 16S ribosomal RNA". Lineage: Bacteria; Bacillati; Actinomycetota; Actinomycetes; Mycobacteriales; Corynebacteriaceae. The record is from RNAcentral.